RNAcentral lists this ribosomal RNA (522 nucleotides) under uncultured bacterium. RNAcentral's name for it is "partial 16S ribosomal RNA". It matches the Rfam family "Bacterial small subunit ribosomal RNA", at positions 28 to 523 of the family's 1533-position model. The record is from RNAcentral.
GACGAACGCUGGCGGCGUGCCUAAUACAUGCAAGUCGAACGAAGCUGUUUUAACUGGUGCUUGCACCGACUUAAACAACUGAGUGGCGAACGGGUGAGUAACACGUGGGUAACCUGCCCCAAAGCGGGGGAUAACAUUUGGAAACAGAUGCUAAUACCGAAUAAAACUCAGUGUCGCAUGACACAAAGUUAAAAGGCGCUUUGGCGUCACCUAAAGAUGGAUCCGCGGUGCAUUAGUUAGUUGGUGGGGUAAAGGCCUACCAAGACAAUGAUGCAUAGCCGAGUUGAGAGACUGAUCGGCCACAUUGGGACUGAGACACGGCCCAAACUCCUACGGGAGGCUGCAGUAGGGAAUCUUCCACAAUGGGCGAAAGCCUGAUGGAGCAACGCCGCGUGUGUGAUGAAGGCUUUCGGGUCGUAAAGCACUGUUGUAUGGGAAGAACAGCUAGAAUAGGGAAUGAUUUUAGUUUGACGGUACCACACCAGAAAGGGACGGCUAAAUACGUGCCAGCCGCCGCUGUAA